UACGGAGGAUGCAAGCGUUAUCCGGAUUUAUUGGGUUUAAAGGGUGCGCAGGCGGAGUAGUAAGUCAGUGGUGAAAACCUGCAGCUUAACUGUAGAAUUGCCGUUGAUACUGCUACUCUUGAGUAUGGUCAAGGUAGGCGGAAUGUGUAAUGUAGCGGUGAAAUGCUUAGAUAUUACACAGAACACCGAUUGCGAAGGCAGCUUGCUGGGCCAUUACUGACGCUCAUGCACGAAAGCGUGGGGAUCGAACAGG
Molecule: ribosomal RNA, 253 nt
Filed under: uncultured bacterium
Lineage: Bacteria
Description: partial 16S ribosomal RNA
Rfam family: Bacterial small subunit ribosomal RNA
Source: RNAcentral